This 440-nucleotide ribosomal RNA is filed under the name uncultured bacterium. RNAcentral describes it as "partial 16S ribosomal RNA". It matches the Rfam family "Bacterial small subunit ribosomal RNA", at positions 338 to 795 of the family's 1533-position model. The record is from RNAcentral.
CCUACGUGAGGCAGCAGUGGGGAAUAUUGCACAAUGGGGGAAACCCUGAUGCAGCGACGCCGCGUGAGUGAAGAAGAAAUUCGUUAUGUAAAGCCCUAUCACCAGGGAAGAAAAUGACGGUACCUGAGUAAGAAGCCCCGGCUACCUACGUCCCAGCAGCCGCGGUAAUACGUAGGGGGCAAGCGUUACCCGGAUUUACUGGGUGUAAAGGGAGCGUAGACGGCAUUGCAAGUCUGGAGUGAAAGGCGGGGGCUCAACCCCCGGACUGCUCUGGAAACUGUACGGCUGGAGUGCAGGAGAGGUAAGUGGAAUUCCUAGUGUAGCGGUGAAAUGCGUAGAUAUUAGGAGGAACACCAGUGGCGAAGGCGGCUUACUGGACUGUAACUGACGUUGAGGCUCGAAAGCGUGGGGAGCAAACAGGAUUAGAUACCCGAGUAGUC